GUUGAAGGUUGGGUAACACUAACUGGAGGACCGAACCGACUAAUGUUGAAAAAUUAGCGGAUGACCUGUGGCUGGGGGUGAAAGGCCAAUCAAACCGGGAGAUAGCUGGUUCUCCCCGAAAGCUAUUUAGGUAGCGCCUCGUGAAUUCAUCUCCGGGGGUAGAGCACUGUUUCGGCUAGGGGGCCAUCCCGGCUUACCAACCCGAUGCAAACUGCGAAUACCGGAGAAUGUUAUCACGGGAGACACACGGCGGGUGCUAACGUCCGUCGUGAAGAGGGAAACAACCCAGACCGCCAGCUAAGGUCCCAAAGUCAUGGUUAAGUGGGAAACGAUGUGGGAAGGCCCAGACAGCCAGGAUGUUGGCUUAGAAGCAGCCAUCAUUUAAAGAAAGCGUAAUAGCUCACUGGUCGAGUCGGCCUGCGCGGAAGAUGUAACGGGGCUAAACCAUGCACCGAAGCUGCGGCAGCGACACUCAGGUGUUGUUGGGUAGGGGAGCGUUCUGUAAGCCUGCGAAGGUGGCCUGUGAGGGUUGCUGGAGGUAUCAGAAGUGCGAAUGCUGACAUAAGUAACGAUAAAGCGGGUGAAAAGCCCGCUCGCCGGAAGACCAAGGGUUCCUGUCCAACGUUAAUCGGGGCAGGGUGAGUCGACCCCUAAGGCGAGGCCGAAAGGCGUAGUCGAUGGGAAACGGGUUAAUAUUCCCGUACUUGGUGUUACUGCGAAGGGGGGACGGAGAAGGCUAUGUUGGCCGGGCGACGGUUGUCCCGGUUUAAGCGUGUAGGUGUGUGUUCCAGGUAAAUCCGGUUCACUUUAACACUGAGGCGUGACGACGAGGCACUACGGUGCUGAAGCAACAAAUGCCCUGCUUCCAGGAAAAGCCUCUAAGCAUCAGGUAACAUCAAAUCGUACCCCAAACCGACACAGGUGGUCAGGUAGAGAAUACCAAGGCGCUUGAGAGAACUCGGGUGAAGGAACUAGGCAAAAUGGUGCCGUAACUUCGGGAGAAGGCACGCUGACACGUAGGUGAAGUGAUUUACUCAUGGAGCUGAAGUCAGUCGAAGAUACCAGCUGGCUGCAACUGUUUAUUAAAAACACAGCACUGUGCAAACACGAAAGUGGACGUAUACGGUGUGACGCCUGCCCGGUGCCGGAAGGUUAAUUGAUGGGGUCAGCGCAAGCGAAGCUCCUGAUCGAAGCCCCGGUAAACGGCGGCCGUAACUAUAACGGUCCUAAGGUAGCGAAAUUCCUUGUCGGGUAAGUUCCGACCUGCACGAAUGGCGUAAUGAUGGCCAGGCUGUCUCCACCCGAGACUCAGUGAAAUUGAACUCGCUGUGAAGAUGCAGUGUACCCGCGGCAAGACGGAAAGACCCCGUGAACCUUUACUAUAGCUUGACACUGAACAUUGAGCCUUGAUGUGUAGGAUAGGUGGGAGGCUUUGAAGUGUGGACGCCAGUCUGCAUGGAGCCGACCUUGAAAUACCACCCUUUAAUGUUUGAUGUUCUAACGUGGACCCGUAAUCCGGGUUGCGGACAGUGUCUGGUGGGUAGUUUGACUGGGGCGGUCUCCUCCUAAAGAGUAACGGAGGAGCACGAAGGUUGGCUAAUCCUGGUCGGACAUCAGGAGGUUAGUGCAAUGGCAUAAGCCAGCUUGACUGCGAGCGUGACGGCGCGAGCAGGUGCGAAAGCAGGUCAUAGUGAUCCGGUGGUUCUGAAUGGAAGGGCCAUCGCUCAACGGAUAAAAGGUACUCCGGGGAUAACAGGCUGAUACCGCCCAAGAGUUCAUAUCGACGGCGGUGUUUGGCACCUCGAUGUCGGCUCAUCACAUCCUGGGGCUGAAGUAGGUCCCAAGGGUAUGGCUGUUCGCCAUUUAAAGUGGUACGCGAGCUGGGUUUAGAACGUCGUGAGACAGUUCGGUCCCUAUCUGCCGUGGGCGCUGGAGAACUGAGGGGGGCUGCUCCUAGUACGAGAGGACCGGAGUGGACGCAUCACUGGUGUUCGGGUUGUCAUGCCAAUGGCACUGCCCGGUAGCUAAAUGCGGAAGAGAUAAGUGCUGAAAGCAUCUAAGCACGAAACUUGCCCCGA
RNAcentral lists this ribosomal RNA (2078 nucleotides) under Salmonella enterica subsp. enterica serovar Agona. RNAcentral describes it as "partial 23S ribosomal RNA". It matches the Rfam family "Bacterial large subunit ribosomal RNA", at positions 744 to 2802 of the family's 2925-position model. The record is from RNAcentral. Lineage: Bacteria; Pseudomonadati; Pseudomonadota; Gammaproteobacteria; Enterobacterales; Enterobacteriaceae.